Molecule: long non-coding RNA, 404 nt
Filed under: Citrus x clementina
Lineage: Eukaryota; Viridiplantae; Streptophyta; Magnoliopsida; Sapindales; Rutaceae
Description: Citrus clementina (C. clementina) long non-coding RNA (CCLE_LNC000501)
Source: RNAcentral
GGAUAGUACAAGAGGUUUAUGAUUUCUCAACCCAUUUAUGUGGGUGGAGAGAGAAUCAAGUGUUUUUUUAAAUAAAGAAUAAUUAAUAAUUAAUAAUCAAAUUAAUAAAAAUAAAUAAAUUGUAAGGGGGAUCGUAAAAGUUUUGUAUGUAACAUAUCGGUAGUGGAAAGAAUUUUUUUUGGAGAGGCUAUUUGGCUUGGAACAUAUAUUACAAUACUCUCUUCAUCCACUUCUCAAUAAAAUAUUUUAUUAAAAAAAUUUCCUUAAUUGAAUUAUUGUUUUAGCCAUAUAUUAUGUUCGUUUAUCUCCCUAAAGUUUUUAUUCUUUCACCCUUUUUUCUCUUUUCCUCUGUGUCUCCCCAAUUUUUUUCCAGUCCUAUGGGGUUCUUAUUAAAGCUUCUAUUG